CCCUUAGACGUUCUGGGCCGCACGCGCGCUACACUGACCAGUGCAACAAGCAUCCGUCCUUGGCCGACAGGCUCGGGCAAUCUUUGAACGCUGGUCGUGAUGGGGAUAGACUUUUGCAAUUUUUGGUCUUCAACGAGGAAUUCCUAGUAAACGCAAGUCAUCAACUUGCAUUGAUUACGUCCCUGCCCUUUGUACACACCGCCCGUCGCACCUACCGAUUGAAUGGUCCGGUGAAGCCUCCGGUUUGGCGCGCACCUCGGUGCCGCCGAGAAGUUGGCUAAACCUUACCAUUUAGAGGAAGGUGAAGUCGUAACA
RNAcentral lists this ribosomal RNA (315 nucleotides) under uncultured eukaryote. RNAcentral's name for it is "partial 18S ribosomal RNA". It matches the Rfam family "Eukaryotic small subunit ribosomal RNA", at positions 1470 to 1796 of the family's 1831-position model. The record is from RNAcentral.